AGUGGCUUCAAAGUGGCUCUCCCUCAACCUGCGGAGUUCGCCUUCCAUCUUCUUCGACCUUUUCGUCAAAUGAAGAACCUCCUUCUUCAGGUGCUGGAUCGUGGACUUCAGCGGAAUCCCCUGAGGCAAGGGAAGCACUUCGGCAGGGCGCUGCCAUCGGGAGGUCAACGCGUUAAGACGUAGCUCAUUACAAAGAAGAAGAAAAAAAGAAAGAAAAAGAAGAGAAGAAAAGUCCCCCACA
This 241-nucleotide long non-coding RNA is filed under the name Elaeis guineensis (African oil palm). Its description in RNAcentral is "long non-coding RNA (EGUI_LNC051913)". The record is from RNAcentral. Lineage: Eukaryota; Viridiplantae; Streptophyta; Magnoliopsida; Arecales; Arecaceae.